CUUUUUCCGGUAGCCGAGUAGCGUGAGUACCGUCCAUUAAUGUGGUGACGAGGCAGAUCGAUUGAUCGAUCUAAUUAAUAUCAAAGGUGAUGAUGACAUUAGCAGUAAAGAUUCCUAGUGUAAAGGGACGUUUACAUUGGAGGUAGUAAGACCGCGGAGUAGGAAGUAAGAGGGUUUUAUCGGUGUAACAGUAGGAGUAAGCGAAAUGGUUUAAAGGACGUCUACAUUGGAAACGUCUCUUUAUUCCCAUUUCCUACUAUCUACUGUCUUACUGCCAGCCAAUCAGAGACGAUGUGAAUGUUUCAAACAAGACGCGACAUAUGUAUUUAUGCCGAUGGUUUUUUGUGGACGUGCAAGUGCAGUUUUAUUGUGUAAUUAUUCUUUUAUAAUGGAUGAUCAAUAUAAUGUGGAUGGCGUUGAUAGCGUUGGUGACUUUGAGGAAUAUGAAGAAGAAAUUGUUGGAAGUGAUACAAUUCAACGUCAAAAAGAACUUAUUGCUAUUGUCAAAGUUAACCCACUGCUAUAGGAUAAACGGCAAAAGGGAUAUUGUAGUAAGAAUAAAGAACUUGUAUGGGCCUCUGUGGCUGCAAUAUUUGAAAAUAUGUCAGGUCUAGAAGCUGAAAAAGAAUUUUAUAAAAUUCGACAAAAAUAUGGAAAAGAGAGACGUAAAGUAAUUAUGUCCUUAAAAAGAAAAUCUGGGCAGAGUUCGCAACCCAUAUGUUCCUACAUGGGAAUUAUAUGAGAUAUGUGAUAGUUUUCUACAUACAGUUAUCGUACCUCGAAAAAGCAGCAGCAAUUAUAUGAAAACUGCGUCUUCAUCAAAAUCAAAUGAAGUUAGUUAUUCGUCCUCGCAGUUUCAACUGACUGUGCCGCAAUGUAUGAAGCCAUCUACAGUGUAUCAUAAGGGAGCGGUGCACUUGGACACGGUGCAUUUGGACACAGCCAAUCACAGCACCGUGUGAUUAGAGACAUUUGUAGGGUCCCUUGGAACAGCGACUUGUGAUUGGACUGUGUCCAAUUGCCCCGUGUCCAACUGAUAUACACCCGUAUCAUAAUAUUACAGCUGCACAUACUCGUAAUGUUAACUUGACAUCAAAUUUCUAUACAUGAUUAUCCAGCGAUGAUACAAGUGAUUCUGUUACUUCUAAGUCUCCAAAGAUAUCAUUCCAGUCUCUAAAGCAGCUGGAAAUGCAAGCACAGCCUCAGUCCCAAACGCAAUUAACAUGUACUGUUGGAAUUGGAACACCAGGGGAGGAAAUUUAUUCUACAGAAUAGGUUCUGCGGAAAACGAAUCAGGCAACAGCAAAGACAGUUCCUCCACCUGAUGCUUUCAAUAAAAGGAAAAGGAAAUCAGAAGAUAUUUUGACAGAAACAUAUAUUAAACAAUGUGAAGGAUUUAAUGAUCUAGCUCGACAAAUUUCACAGACAUUGGUUGCAAAGAAUAACAUAGAACCUGCUCAUACAACAGCCCCAGAUCCCAUCGUAGGAGCAAUUCAUUUGGCACUGACAAAAGUAAAGGAUUUUGAUAAGUUUGAAUGCAUAUUGGAUGUGUUGCAAUACAUCAAUGAAAAAUAUGUCAAAAAGAAUGUGAUAUAACAGCAUAUACGAAAUAUUAAAAUAUUUUAUUAUUUUUUAUCAUUUCUAUUAAAAUGUUACUAUAGUAGUAAGUUCUUUAAAUGUUCCUAACUUUUUAGUUUCGUUAAUUUGAAAGUAAUACUUUUUCAUUUCCAAGUUGUGUUAUGCAAAGAUGAAGAAAUUCUUUAUGUUGUUUUGUAAGCUUUUCAUUUUUAUAAGUUUUUAUAAACCCAUGCAAGUUCUUUAUUCUUGUUACAAUAUUCCUUUUGUCGUUUAUCUCAUAGCAGUGGGUUAACUUUGACAAUGGCAAUAAGUUUUUUUUGACGUUUAAUUGUAUCAAUUCCAACAUUUUUUUCUUAGUAUUAUAUAUUUUUUUGUUCUUCGUUAAUUAAUCUAAAUGUUAUUGUGAGACUUUCGGUCAUGUGCAAUUCGGUGCUAUAGAUUUGUAAGUGAUAAAGAAUUAUUUUAAUAAAGAAAA
This is a long non-coding RNA of Odontomachus brunneus, 2053 nucleotides long. RefSeq lists it as uncharacterized. The record is from RefSeq and is a predicted model, not a curated record. Lineage: Eukaryota; Metazoa; Arthropoda; Insecta; Hymenoptera; Formicidae. The transcript has 6 exons.